GACGAACGCUGGCGGCGUGCUUAACACAUGCAAGUCGAACGGUGAAAGGAGAGCUUGCCCUUCUGUAUCAGUGGCGCACAGGUGAGUAACACGUGAGUAACCUCCCCCAGACUCUGGAAUAAACGCUGGAAACGGCGUCUCAUACCGGAUACGAGACAGAGCUUCAUGGCUACUGUCUUGAAAGUUUUUCGGUUGGGGAUGGACUCGCGGCCUAUCAUCUUGUUGGUGAGGUAACGGCUCACCAAGGCAACGACGGGUCGCCGGCCUGAGAGGGCGACCGGCCACACUGGGACUGAGGAACGGCCCAGACUGCUACGGGAGGCAGCAGUGGGGAAUAUUGCACAAUGGGCGAAAGCCGGAUGCAGCGACUCCGCGUGAGGGAUGACGGCCUUCGGGGUGGAAACCUCGUGCAGCAGGGAAGAAGAGAAAGUGACGGUACCUGAAGAAGAAGCACCGGCUAACUACGUG
RNAcentral lists this ribosomal RNA (468 nucleotides) under uncultured bacterium. RNAcentral describes it as "partial 16S ribosomal RNA". It matches the Rfam family "Bacterial small subunit ribosomal RNA", at positions 28 to 507 of the family's 1533-position model. The record is from RNAcentral.